Non-coding RNA from Megalopta genalis, 478 nucleotides. The record is from RefSeq and is a predicted model, not a curated record. NCBI's taxonomy places the organism in Eukaryota, Metazoa, Arthropoda, Insecta, Hymenoptera, Halictidae.
UGUGCACGACGCGGCGUCGCUGACGUCACCAGUAUCGUGGUAUCAUAUCAUUGCUUACGAGGUAGCAACAUAACCUGGCUCUUUUAACUUUGACGUAUCACACAAAUUAUUCUAAAGACAUGAUCAAUCCAUUGAGAAAAUUAUUUCCAUUUCUAGAAUAUUGGUAUUUUCGAUACAUGCUUGUUACAGAGCUUUACAUGGUUGAAAAAUGGGAAAGGAAGUUUAUAAACACAUUUUUGAUCACUCUCUUCUGCUCAUUCUUUCUAUUUAAUUAUAGCAUUGUGCUACCAUUUGUGCAGCAUACGUUGCGUACUUGAAACACAGUUCGAUGCAACGGGUUAUUAAAUCGAAGUUGUUACUCUUUCCCCACAUUCCAGUAUUGCAUCGAAUUAUUUUAUAUAAAUUGUUCUUCAUAAUUGUACGUACAAUGUUAUUGUUUUGUAUGAUGCAAGCUUAAAUAAACAACUCAUGAAAUGUA